UGGCGGGUGCUAUACUGCAGUCGAGCGAGCGGAACUAACAGAUUUACUUCGGUAAUGACGUUAGGAAAGCGAGCGGCGGAUGGGUGAGUAACACGUGGGGAACCUGCCCCAUAGUCUGGGAUACCACUUGGAAACAGGUGCUAAUACCGGAUAAGAAAGCAGAUCGCAUGAUCAGCUUUUAAAAGGCGGCGUAAGCUGUCGCUAUGGGAUGGCCCCGCGGUGCAUUAGCUAGUUGGUAAGGUAAAGGCUUACCAAGGCGAUGAUGCAUAGCCGAGUUGAGAGACUGAUCGGCCACAUUGGGACUGAGACACGGCCCAAACUCCUACGGGAGGCAGCAGUAGGGAAUCUUCCACAAUGGACGCAAGUCUGAUGGAGCAACGCCGCGUGAGUGAAGAAGGUUUUCGGAUCGUAAAGCUCUGUUGUUGGUGAAGAAGGAUAGAGGUAGUAACUGGCCUUUAUUUGACGGUAAUCAACCAGAAAGUCACGGCUAACUACGUGCCAGCAGCCGCGGUAAUACGUAGGUGGCAAGCGUUGUCCGGAUUUAUUGGGCGUAAAGCGAGCGCAGGCGGAAGAAUAAGUCUGAUGUGAAAGCCCUCGGCUUAACCGAGGAACUGCAUCGGAAACUGUUUUUCUUGAGUGCAGAAGAGGAGAGUGGAACUCCAUGUGUAGCGGUGGAAUGCGUAGAUAUAUGGAAGAACACCAGUGGCGAAGGCGGCUCUCUGGUCUGCAACUGACGCUGAGGCUCGAAAGCAUGGGUAGCGAACAGGAUUAGAUACCCUGGUAGUCCAUGCCGUAAACGAUGAGUGCUAAGUGUUGGGAGGUUUCCGCCUCUCAGUGCUGCAGCUAACGCAUUAAGCACUCCGCCUGGGGAGUACGACCGCAAGGUUGAAACUCAAAGGAAUUGACGGGGGCCCGCACAAGCGGUGGAACAUGUGGUUAAUUCGAAGCACGCGAAAACCUUACCAGGUCUUGACUCUAAUGCCUUUGUAGAGAACAAAGUCCCUUCGGGAA
RNAcentral lists this ribosomal RNA (1011 nucleotides) under Lactobacillus sp. RNAcentral's name for it is "bacterial SSU rRNA". It matches the Rfam family "Bacterial small subunit ribosomal RNA", at positions 40 to 1026 of the family's 1533-position model. The record is from RNAcentral. Lineage: Bacteria; Bacillati; Bacillota; Bacilli; Lactobacillales; Lactobacillaceae.